This 227-nucleotide long non-coding RNA is filed under the name Homo sapiens (human). RNAcentral describes it as "HSALNT0357848". It matches the Rfam family "Eukaryotic large subunit ribosomal RNA", at positions 2268 to 2488 of the family's 3401-position model. Lineage: Eukaryota; Metazoa; Chordata; Mammalia; Primates; Hominidae. The record is from RNAcentral.
ACUCUCUUAAGUAGCUGAAUGCCUUGUCAUCUAAUUAGUGAUGUGCAUGAAUUAAUGAAGUGGAGAUUCUCACUGUCCCUAUCUACUAUCCGGUGAAACCACAGCCAAGGGAAGAGUCUUGGUGGAAUUGGCGGGGAAAGAAGACCUUGUUGAGCUUGACUCUAGUCUGGCAUGGUGAAGAGACACGAGAGGUGUAGAAUAAGUGGGAGGCCCCCGGCGACCCCCCU